GUGAACGCUGGCGGUAGGCCUAACACAUGCAAGUCGCACGGCAGCACAGUAAGAGCUUGCUCUUACGGGUGGCGAGUGGCGGACGGGUGAGGAAUACAUCGGAAUCUACUUUUUCGUGGGGGAUAACGUAGGGAAACUUACGCUAAUACCGCAUACGACCUACGGGUGAAAGCAGGGGAUCUUCGGACCUUGCGCGAUUGAAUGAGCCGAUGUCGGAUUAGCUAGUUGGCGGGGUAAAGGCCCACCAAGGCGACGAUCCGUAGCUGGUCUGAGAGGAUGAUCAGCCACACUGGAACUGAGACACGGUCCAGACUCCUACGGGAGGCAGCAGUGGGGAAUAUUGGACAAUGGGCGCAAGCCUGAUCCAGCCAUACCGCGUGGGUGAAGAAGGCCUUCGGGUUGUAGAGCCCUUUUGUUGGGAAAGAAAAGCAGCAGGUUAAUACCCCGCUGUUCUGACGGUACCCAAAGAAUAAGCACCGGCUAACUUCGUG
Molecule: ribosomal RNA, 491 nt
Filed under: uncultured bacterium
Lineage: Bacteria
Description: partial 16S ribosomal RNA
Rfam family: Bacterial small subunit ribosomal RNA
Source: RNAcentral